CUGCCAGCCGCCGCGGUAAUACGGAGGGUGCAAGCGUUAUCCGGAUUCAUUGGGUUUAAAGGGUGCGCAGGCGGAUACUUAAGUCAGUGGUGAAAUCCCGGGGCUCAACCCCGGAACUGCCAUUGAUACUGAAUAUCUGGAAUACGGUUGAAGUGGGCGGAAUGUAGCAUGUAGCGGUGAAAUGCAUAGAGAUGCUACAGAACACCGAUCGCGAAGGCAGCUCACUAAGCCGAUAUUGACGCUCAGGCACGAAAGCGUGGGGAGCGAACAGGAUUAGAUACCCUGGUAGUCCACGCCGUAAACGAUGAUAACUCGUUGUUGGCGACACACAGUCAGCGACUAAGCGAAAGCGAUAAGUUAUCCACCUGGGGAGUACGAUCGCAAGGUUGAAACUUACAAGGAAUUGACGG
This 410-nucleotide ribosomal RNA is filed under the name uncultured bacterium. RNAcentral describes it as "bacterial SSU rRNA". It matches the Rfam family "Bacterial small subunit ribosomal RNA", at positions 505 to 916 of the family's 1533-position model. The record is from RNAcentral.